Pelobates cultripes (western spadefoot toad) is the source of this 770-nucleotide non-coding RNA. Lineage: Eukaryota; Metazoa; Chordata; Amphibia; Anura; Pelobatidae. The record is from the annotation of a GenBank genome assembly.
CAGAGAGUGGCUGUAUGUAUACAGGACCAAGUUUGUAUGUUAUUUUAGAGGGUCAUAGAGAGUGUGUGUCUAGAGGCUGAAGUGUAUGUGUGUGUGUAUAUGGGAUGUAGUGUGUGCAUAGGAGCUGUAUUGUGCAAAGGGGCUGCAGUGUAGGGAUGUAAUGUGUGUAUAAUGGCUGUAGUGUAUCAGCUAUUUUUAUUUUUAGGGGCUGUAGUGUAUAGGGGUCUGCAGAGUGUGUAUAGGGUAAGUAGUGUGUGUCUAUUUGUAGAGGGCUGUAGAGAGUGUGUGUAUGUAUACAGGACAUAGUGUGGGUUUUAUUUUAGAGGGUGAAAGAGAGUUUGUAUGUCUAGAGGCUGAAAUGUGUGUGUGUGUGUGUGUGUAUAUGUAUAUGGGAUGUGUAGCGGAGAUACAAUAUUCCACAGGUUAUCUCCGCUUAAGAUCCCAGUGAGGCUCAGGAACAAGAGAUGAUAAAUCCACAAAGCAAGGUUUCCAGCAGGUAAAUUAAUCCAACAGUAUCCCAACAGCAAUCCCAAUAACUGGACGACACACAGCAUCAGGAGCAGAACUGAAAACCUUUAUUCCACAGUGGCCUUAUAAAGCAUGCUCCCAUGCAAGGGAGGGAUUUACAGCAAUUACUGCAGUGUCCAAUCAUAGUCGAGUAACCUCCCACACAUCCCCUCCCCUCAGCCUGACUCAUAAUCCCCUUAUACUGUACACAAAUUCCCUCAGUUUCUGGAUGUACCCCUAAACCUAGGGAUACCCCUUUAAAU